RNAcentral lists this ribosomal RNA (422 nucleotides) under Mesobuthus eupeus (lesser Asian scorpion). RNAcentral describes it as "partial 12S ribosomal RNA". Lineage: Eukaryota; Metazoa; Arthropoda; Arachnida; Scorpiones; Buthidae. The record is from RNAcentral.
ACCAUGAAAGUGAAAAAAAUUUAGUUUUAAUUUUGGGACUUUAGUAGAAAUUGUAGAAACUUUUAGAAAAGUAAAAUUUUGGAAGGUUAAAAAAUUUUAAAAAGAGUUGGAAAAAUUCUAAAGUGAGACUAGGAUUAGAUACCCUAUUAUUAUUGAGAAAAAGUAAAUUAGGUAGUAGUGGAAGGCUUGAAACUUAAAGAAUUUGGCGGUGUCUUAAUCUUAUCAGAGGAACUUGUAUUUUAAUUCGAAAUUACUCGUUUAAUUUUACUUAGAUUUUUGUUUGUAUAUCGUCGUAAAAAUAAAACUUUAAAGUGUAUAUUUUGGAAAGAUUUUCUUAAAAUUACAGAUCAAGGUUCAGCAAUAUUUAAGCAUAAUAUGAGUUACAAUAUAAUAAUUUAUAUAUUUACGGAGGGAAGGAUGAA